Capsicum annuum is the source of this 3074-nucleotide long non-coding RNA. RefSeq lists it as uncharacterized. Lineage: Eukaryota; Viridiplantae; Streptophyta; Magnoliopsida; Solanales; Solanaceae. The transcript is spliced from 3 exons. The record is from RefSeq and is a predicted model, not a curated record.
UGUGUCUUUUAAUAAAUACACUGAAAAUGACAUUGAGAGUGUUGACAGGGCAUCUAAAAAUAGUGAAGAUGCCCAUUCUUUUGACCAACCUAUUGGUCAUACUUCUUCUCCUCUUACUGUCCAACCUACUUCUCAUACUUCUCUUUGUUUUAUCCAACUAACUGAUUAUAUCCCUUCUCUUCCUACCGACCAACUUAAUGCUUAUGUUUCCUCUCCUCCUACUGACCAACUUACUGCUCAUGUUUCUUCUCCUAUAGCUGCUGCUCCCAGUAGUUGUACUGCUGCUCUUAGUAGUUCUAUUGUUGCUCCUACUAAUUCUACUGCUGCACCUUUUGAAUCUGUUGUAGAUUCAGAUGUAGAAUCUAUUGAUGGAAGUGUAGAGAUUGGAAGUGAUGUGGAUGAAUAUAUGGAUGAAGAGUUAAGAGGUUUUAAGGAAAAAAAAGAAAAGAAAAAGAAGAAAGAGGAGAGAGAGACCAGUAAUUCCUGAACAUAUUAAGUUAGGAACUAGAAGAAAGGGACCAGAUAUUAGCUAUGAUGAAUCUGCAGGUGGUGAUAGAAAUUGUUUGGAGGGUAAGUUAGCUGGUGAUGAACCUUUUUACCCAUAUGAUGAAGCAGCCAGCUUUGAAACUGAUUCAGAUGAUGUAAUAGAUGAAGAAGAUAAAGUUGAACAGGUUGAACAUAGAGAUAAAGCUAGAAGGAGGAAAAAAGUUAAGAGAGUUGCAUAUAGUUCAGAUUGUUAGAAAGUUGUGUGGGAGUUAGGACUUGUUUUUGAAAGUGUUAAUGAAUUUAGAGCUGCUGUUACUAAAUAAGCUAUUUCUGAACAUGUUGCAAUUGAGAAAUAUGUUAAUGAACCUACAAGGGUAAGGGUUAGGUGUACAACUGGUUGUCCAUGGCUUCUUUAUGCUAGCAUUUUUUUCUAGGUCUAUGAACUUUGUUGUGAAGACCUACAAUCCAGUUCAUAAGUGUGAUACUAUCAAUAGGAACAUACUUUGUAAUACCAAGUUCUUAGCUAGCCACUUCAAUGAAAGGAUAAAAGAACAAUCAGAUAUUAGAAUUUUUGAGUUUCAUCUGCUUAUUAAGAAGGAGCUGGAUUUACAUGUUGGAAGAAUAGUGCGUAGGAGAGCAAAAAAUAAGGUGAUUGCAGAACUGAUGGGUAACUAUAAUCUGGAAUUUGAGAGAAUUUCAGAUUAUAGAGAUGAGUUGAUAAGAUUAAAUCUAGGUAGUACAUGUGUAGUGAAGCUUCAUGAUGAAAUAUUUGAAGAUGGUAGAAAAAUGUUUCAAGGUUUCUAUAUAUGUUUUAAUGCAAUGAGGAAGUCCUUCCUAGUUGGUUGUAAGAAGUGCAUUGGUUUGGAUGGAUGUUUUUUAAAAGGAGUGACAAAAGGGCAGUUAUUAGUUGUUGUGUGUAAAGAUGGUAAUAAUCGAAUGUUGCCACUGGCAUGGGCAGUGGUUGAGAUUGAAAACAAGACCACUUGGAGUUAGUUUAUCAGGAUUGUAAAAGAAGCUCUUCAGCUUGGAGAUGGGACAGAUUUGACAGUGAUAACAGACAUGCAAAAGGUAAAGAAAUAUUGUUUUUGCUUCUGUUUAUGUUAUAACUAUUUCUGUUUCUAUUUUUGUUAUAGGAAUUAGAAAUUGCUGUAACUGAAUAUUUACCAAAUAUUGAACAUAGAAUAUGUGCAAGGCAUGUCCUUGCAAACUGGUCAAAAGAUGCUAUAUGUAGAGGUAUUGAGAAGAAAAAAUAUUUUUGAAGGUGUGCACGAUCUACCUUUGAGGCUGAGCUUAGAGAUAACAUUAGCUAUAUGAAGAUGUUGGGGGGAGAAUAAAUACUAGAUAAGUAGAUGUAUUUUAAUCCAGAAAGAUAAAGCAAGGUUUACUUUAGCUUUGGAAUAAAGUGUGAUGUUGUAGACAACAACAUAGUAGAAUGUUUUAAUGCAUAGGUUUUAGGAGCUAGGCAUAAGACUAUAAUUACAAUGUUAGAGGAGAUAAGGGUAAAAAUAAUGAAAUGAGUGGGACAGAUGAAGGAUUUUUGUAAAACUUGGAUCAGUGACAUUUCUCCAAUGGCUAUGAAAGUGCUAAAUGAUAAUACAACAAGGUCUAUGAAGUGCAGCAUAGAAUGGAAUUCUGAUACAAGGUAUGAGGUGCUUGAUAGAGGAUAUAGGCUUAUUGUGGAUCUUGCUAGACAAUAUUGCAGUUGUAGAUCAUGGAUGUUGAAGGAUAUACCUUGUGCUCAUGCAGUGGCUACUCUUCACCAUAAAAAAACUGAAACUAAUAAACUACAUCUCUCACUGGUACAAUAGAGAAACUUAUAUGAACACAUAUAGUUUCUUCAUUUAACUAGUUUUGAAUAUGAAGAUGUGGCCACAAUUACAGAAUAUCUCUGUCAUGCUACAUUCUGUUAAGAAGCUGCCAGGUAGGCCUGGAAAGAAUAGAAAGAAAGAAGAAGGUGAAACCAAAAAUAAAACUGGAAAGUUGUCCAAGAGGGGGAUUGAGAUUUCAUGUGGCACUUGCCAUAGCAAGGGUCACAACAAAAGAAGAUGUCCAACAGGUGCACCUGCUACUGGUACUAAUGCAAAUUCUGGCCCAAGUUCAUUUGCUGAUGCAGACCCAAGUGCAGGUCCAAGUGCAGUCCCAAGUGCAGCACCUACUAUUGGAAAAGGGAGAGUUCGAUUGGAAGAGGAAGGGGUAGACCACCAAAGAAUUCUACAGAAAAGUGUGCUGACAGACCAAGAAUGAUUGGAAUGGGAUUACUUCACACACAAAGUGAAUGCACAAUUCUUAAUCCGGGAAUACCUAGUGAAAGAUUCAAAACUAUCAAGUCUUCAACAUUUGUGACUGAAAAUCUCGGAUAUACACCAAAAACUGGUGUAAAACGGAAAGGAAAAAAAGCUAUGACCUCCAGGCAACUACAAGAAAUGAGAGGCAGAAAACGAAUGCAAACAAGGUCUAAGGCUACACACUUGAGUCAAGAAAGCUCCAAUAUUCAAUAUCUAUGAGAAGUUGGUGUAGACUGCAUUUAACACUGUAUAAAGCUUGGCAGUUGUGACUGCAUUUAAGACUGUUUUUGAUAAUUCACUGAU